CUUGAAUUCAUGAAAUACCUUAGGAUCUAUCUUUUUCUUAUUUUAUUUUUGGGUAUGAAUAAACACUAUCGUCGAAUCCCACCCCUUGUGCAUCUUACAAUUUCAAUUUCAAUCCAAAAAUCAUUUCUGUCCAUCCAUUCUCUUUCUUCCCCUACCUCUUUAUAUUCUGACGACGGCUUCUCUUUCUACCUAACCCAUACUCCCAGGCGUCGAGAGCAGAGACAACGCUGACAGCUCUUCAAGGAGGUCAACAAGCUCCACCACUGUGCGGUGCUCUACAACGAUGAUUUGAGCGUCGAUGAGUUGUUCGCCACUACAAAGCCUAGCACGGCUCGUGCUUUCAUGGCCAAUUAAGGUGGCACUAGGCCAGUUAGCCAUUUGGGCUUCACUUGAAGGUGGAACUGUAACGAUAGGAGUUGUGUUCGAGUUCUACUGGCUAGGUGUUCGACUUGGUUUCAUCUGUAAGUAGAAUGGUGAGAGUGUUAGUGGUGGAGAAGGGGGUAGCGGCCCACCCAUCUAUUUGAGUUUCAGCACUUGGUGGAGUUGUGGGGAUGGUAUUGGUUGUAGGUUCGGUUGCCUGCCUGCCUGCCCAUCUGCUUGAGUUUCUGCAAUAGAUAGAGUUGGGGAGAUUGUGUUGGUAGUACGUUUGGUUGCCUUCUCUGCCGUUUGAGUUUUAGCAGUAGAGAGGGUUGACCGGAUGGGGAUAAUGGUGGUGGUCUGGCCAGUCGAUUGAGUUUUCAGUUGUAGGUGGAGUUGUGGAUGUGGGGGUUUUGCAUUCUUGGCCAAUUGAGUUUCUGCAUUCAAAUCUCUUGUAUCUGUGACCAAUCAAAGUGCAUGGGUCAUAGGUCACAUAUUCAAGUGAUUUGAUUAUAAGCUAUUGGAUCAGGUCACAUGUUACAGAUAUAAGAGAUUUGGUCACCUGCCAAUAGAUCAGGUCACAAUCACAUGUAAAAGGGCACACGUCAAAUUGCAUAGAUCACAGGUCACAGAUUCAAGAGAUUUGGUUAUAGACCCAAGAUAUUUCUUCACGUGCCAUUGUAACAGGUCAUAGAGCACAUGUCGAAUGCAUAGGUCACAUGUUAUUGAUUAAAGGGAUUUAGUGAUAGACUUUUGGCUUAGGUCUCUCGUUACAGAUGCAAGAGAUUUAGUCACAGGCCAUUUGAUCAAGUCGCAGGUCAUAUGUCGAAAUACAAAGGUCGCAUGUCACAAAUUCAAAAGAUCUAGUCACAUCCCAUUGAUUUCUUUAGUCUCAAUUAUCCGAACUGAUCACAAAUUUAAUUAACCAUGCUUCCAUAGUCAGAA
This 1302-nucleotide long non-coding RNA is filed under the name Olea europaea subsp. europaea. The record is from RNAcentral. Lineage: Eukaryota; Viridiplantae; Streptophyta; Magnoliopsida; Lamiales; Oleaceae.